UACGAAGGGGGCUAGCGUUGCUCGGAAUGGCUGGGCGUAAAGGGCGCGUAGGCGGCUUGCACCGUCAGAUGUGAAAUUCCUGGGCUUAACCUGGGGGCUGCAUUUGAUACGUGUGGGCUUGAGUGCGGAAGAGGGUCGUGGAAUUCCCAGUGUAGAGGUGAAAUUCGUAGAUAUUGGGAAGAACACCGGUGGCGAAGGCGGCUAACUGGCCCAUUACUGACGCUGAGGCUCGAAAGCGUGGGGAGCAAACAGG
RNAcentral lists this ribosomal RNA (253 nucleotides) under uncultured bacterium. Its description in RNAcentral is "partial 16S ribosomal RNA". It matches the Rfam family "Bacterial small subunit ribosomal RNA", at positions 524 to 776 of the family's 1533-position model. The record is from RNAcentral.